GGCGGCGUGGCCAAGUGGCUAAGGCAAGAGGCUGCAACCCUCUGAUCCCCAGUUCGAAUCUGGGCGUCGCCU
This 72-nucleotide transfer RNA is filed under the name Candidatus Woesearchaeota archaeon. RNAcentral's name for it is "tRNA-Cys". It matches the Rfam family "tRNA". From Rfam's summary of the family: Transfer RNA (tRNA) molecules are approximately 80 nucleotides in length. The record is from RNAcentral. Lineage: Archaea; Nanobdellati; Candidatus Woesearchaeota.